UACGAAGGGGGGCUAGCGUUGCUCGGAAUUACUGGGCGUAAAGCGCACGUAGGCGGCUUUCUAAGUCGGGGGUGAAAUCCUGGAGCUCAACUCCAGAACUGCCUUCGAUACUGGAAGCUCGAGUCCGGGAGAGGUGAGUGGAACUGCGAGUGUAGAGGUGAAAUUCGUAGAUAUUCGCAAGAACACCAGUGGCGAAGGCGGCUCACUGGCCCGGUACUGACGCUGAGGUGCGAAAGCGUGGGGAGCAAACAGG
Molecule: ribosomal RNA, 253 nt
Filed under: uncultured bacterium
Lineage: Bacteria
Description: partial 16S ribosomal RNA
Rfam family: Bacterial small subunit ribosomal RNA
Source: RNAcentral